This 456-nucleotide long non-coding RNA is filed under the name Phasianus colchicus (ring-necked pheasant). RNAcentral describes it as "lncRNA (ENSPCLG00000013052.1)". Lineage: Eukaryota; Metazoa; Chordata; Aves; Galliformes; Phasianidae. The record is from RNAcentral.
AUGGCAGAGGCAGGGCAGUGCAGGACGUCGGCAGGACCUGUCAGGGUGUCACUUCAUCUCUUGCACACUUUGUUAGAGGCUGACAGCCAGCUUGCCAUUACCAUUGCAGGGCCAAUUAUCUCUGCAUUGCAGGAACAUGCCCCACUUGUCACCCACCCUUCCUCUCCCACCUGCCCUUCCGCUAGGGAUCAUUAUAAUGAUUUUGCACACACGUGCAGCUGCUCAGCUCAGUGGAUUAAACCUCAGCUAUGGGUUCCUCAAACCUGUCACCAUGGGCAGGACUACUGCAGAGCAGAGGAGAAAAAGAAGCAGAGUCUGGAAGGAGCCAACCUGAUGUGAAACGGGCAUGAAGGUGCAGAAAAAGCAUAAGCAAGGAAGUGGUUUUUUUGCAAGAGCAGCAGCAAAACUGAGGGAAAGUGGCACAAAUAAAUGGAUUCCAGUGCAAAACUGGAUACA